CGUUCCCGGGUCUUGUACACACCGCCCGUCACACCAUGGGAAUUGGUUCUACCUUAAGCUGGUUGCCUAACUUUAUUGAGGGCGCCAACCACGGUCGGGUCAGUAACUGGGGUG
This 114-nucleotide ribosomal RNA is filed under the name uncultured bacterium. RNAcentral describes it as "partial 16S ribosomal RNA". It matches the Rfam family "Bacterial small subunit ribosomal RNA", at positions 1369 to 1482 of the family's 1533-position model. The record is from RNAcentral.